AUUGAACGCUGGCGGCGUGCUUAACACAUGCAAGUCGUGCGGUAACAGGCGUAGCAAUACGUGCUGACGAGCGGCGAACGGGUGCGUAAUACAUGGGAAUCUGCCCUUUAGUGGGGAAUAACCCGGCGAAAGCCGGGCUAAUGCCGCAUAAGAUCUUCGGAUGAAAGCGGGGGAUCGUAAGACCUCGCGCUGAUGGAUGAGCCCAUGUCGGAUUAGCAGUUGGUGAGGUAACGGCUCACCAAGGCGACGAUCCGUAGCUGGUCUGAGAGGACGGCCAGCCACACUGGGACUGAGACACGGCCCAGACUCCUACGGGAGGCAGCAGUGGGGGAAUAUUGGACAAGUGGGCGAAAGCCUGAUCCAGCGACGCCGCGUGUGUGAAGAAGGCCUGCGGGUUGUAAAGC
RNAcentral lists this ribosomal RNA (404 nucleotides) under uncultured bacterium. Its description in RNAcentral is "bacterial SSU rRNA". It matches the Rfam family "Bacterial small subunit ribosomal RNA", at positions 29 to 431 of the family's 1533-position model. The record is from RNAcentral.